Molecule: ribosomal RNA, 253 nt
Filed under: uncultured bacterium
Lineage: Bacteria
Description: partial 16S ribosomal RNA
Rfam family: Bacterial small subunit ribosomal RNA
Source: RNAcentral
UACAGAGGGUGCGAGCGUUAAUCGGAAUUACUGGGCGUAAAGCGCAUGUAGGUGGUUUAAUAAGUUUGAUGUGAAAGCCCCGGGCUUAACCUGGGAAUAGCGUUGAAAACUGUAAGACUAGAGUCGGACAGAGGGUGGAGGAAUUUCCGGUGUAGCGGUGAAAUGCGUAGAGAUCGGAAAGAACACCAGUGGCGAAGGCGUCUGCCUGGGUCCAGACUGACACUGAGGUGCGAAAGCGUGGGGAGCAAACAGG